GUCGAACGGGACUGGGGGCAACUCCAGUUCAGUGGCAGACGGGUGCGUAACACGUGAGAAACUUGUCCAACGGCGGGGGAUAGCCGGCCCAACGGCCGGGUAAUACCGCAUACGAUCUUUCGGGGGCAUCCCUGGGAGAUGAAAGCCGCCGCAAGGUGGCACCGAUGGAGAGUCUCGCGGCCUAUCAGCUUGUUGGCGGGGUAACGGCCCACCAAGGCGACGACGGGUAGCUGGUCUGAGAGGAUGAUCAGCCACAUUGGGACUGAGACACGGCCCAGACUCCUACGGGAGGCAGCAGUGGGGAAUAUUGCGCAAUGGCCGAAAGGCUGACGCAGCGACGCCGCGUGUGGGAUGACGGCCUUCGGGUUGUAAACCACUGUCGGGAGGAACGAAUACCGGACGUCGAAUAGGCGAUCCGGGGUGACGGUACCUCCAAAGGAAGCACCGGCUAACUCCGUGCCAGCAGCCGCGGUAAUACGGAGGGUGCGAGCGUUGUCCGGAAUCACUGGGCGUAAAGGGCGCGUAGGCGGCUCAUUAAGUGGCUGGUGAAAUCCCGGGGCUCAACUCCGGGGCUGCCGGUCAGACUGGUGGGCUCGAGCACGGUAGAGGCGGAUGGAAUUCCCGGUGUAGCGGUGGAAUGCGUAGAGAUCGGGAAGAAUACCGGUGGCGAAGGCGUUCCGCUGGGCCGUUGCUGACGCUGAGGCGCGACAGCGUG
RNAcentral lists this ribosomal RNA (715 nucleotides) under uncultured Gemmatimonadota bacterium. RNAcentral's name for it is "bacterial SSU rRNA". It matches the Rfam family "Bacterial small subunit ribosomal RNA", at positions 61 to 763 of the family's 1533-position model. The record is from RNAcentral. Lineage: Bacteria; Pseudomonadati; Gemmatimonadota.